CAGAGGCAGUUGGGGAUAUUACACUGGAAGGUGUUAACGGCCACCAUCAAAUGGUUCUUUCAUCUCCAGGCAAUUACAGAGCUGGGCCUGCUAACCAGAUGCAAGGGGCUCCCUCUUCCCCUCAUGUCUUCCUUCUGCAUCCCAGACAAACACAAGUGCCAUCAACUUGAGUCCAAGGCCCUAUAAACCAAUUAGAGGUUUAUUUUGAACUUAAAAAGAAGAAAAGGACUGUUUUGCCUUUAUAGAUGUCAGAAGGAGUUUGCAAACCAACAGUGCAACUCUGAAAGAGACUCUUGUAACAACUCCUGUCUCCUUAAGAGAACAGCUUUGCGUUGCCUCUAAAAAUAGGGAGAGAGCAGUGGGGGAUGGGAAGCGGACUGAAUGAGGAAAAGGAGCAGCCAGGUAUCCGGCAGGGAAGGCUACAGGUGAGAUGGUACAGGGAAGGCAGUUGCUGCUGAGGUGUUGGCCAGCUGGAAAGACAAGUUAUUGCAAAGCUACAGGGUCACAAACAAGAUAAGAAAGUAAACUAAUUGUGUCUGUCACAAGAAAACUUGUGAUGAGCCAGAGGAUGGUUACGAGCAUGGAGCAUCACCAACACAGCACUGCAAGCCUGGUCCUGGAGAGGCAGAAGCAGCACAACCCAGCACUUUCCACAGCUUAACAUUAGGCCCAUCUCAGCUGGGGCUUUAUGUGAGUAAACAUGACUCCAGGAGUUUUUUUUCAGAGAGUUAUUUUUAAAUACCUGACCAUAUGAGCUUCCUUGGAAUAGGAAAAAAGAGGAGGCAAAACUAAACAGUCAUUACACAUAUAUUUAAAUAUAACAUUAAAAAAACCACAAAAUAUUUAAACUUACUAGAAAUGCUCACUUUCAUUUUAAUUUUAAAGUUGGCAGUGGACCUGGACCAAAAAAAGGUUAUAGUCUAACUGAGAUGAAGCAGUGUGGAUUUUCUGAAACCAGUCUUUAAAAUAUAUAAGAGGGGAAAAAACCCCAAACUUGCCCAGAAUCUCUCACUUAGAAAGUGACAAUUUGGGUUUGAGCUCUUACUCAGAGAUGUGCUAAAAACACUCAGAGCUAGAAGAGCUGAAGUAGGAAAGGAAAUAAAAGUGCACAAUAGGAGAUUGUGGCUGUACAGAGCUCAGUUAACAACACCCAUAUCAACACAUUAGCUCAGGAGGUAGGUUUGACACAGAGUUUUCCCAAGAAGUAUUUGCACUAAUGCCAAAAAAAGUAUUUAUCUACUUCUGUUUUAAAAUAUGGACAUACAAC
Molecule: long non-coding RNA, 1267 nt
Organism: Passer domesticus (house sparrow)
Lineage: Eukaryota; Metazoa; Chordata; Aves; Passeriformes; Passeridae
Exons: 3
Source: RefSeq, a predicted model, not a curated record